CGUCUGACAAUAGUCAGAGUAAGACGCUUUUUCUUGUCCCCUUCAAACUCUGACCAUAGACUAUAGGCCUAAUAGGGGCAGAGAAUGCUUUAAAAAGUAAUUGACAAAGCGGUUUAAGCAGGAUGGAGUGUUUGUACAGUAGAACGCUUUUAUCAGCGUGAAACACUCACAGGAAUUCCGGUUUGGGAUUGUCCAUCCAAUUCCUGCGUUCCACAGGAAGCUCUGGAUAAAAAGCAACUGAAAAACGCCCAAAGGCAUUUCAUUUCUCUCCUGUCGGUUCACGGGGAGCAUCUAAACAUUAACCGUUGAGGUUUUAUUCUAAGAAAAAACCGUGGGGACGAGCUAAAAAUAAAUUGCAACGAUGGAAGAGUCCACUAAACUGGCUGUCAAGUGGUUGGAGUUGGUUCCCAUGGCAGCAUCUGCUCAGCGUGCGCGAGACGCAGCACCACAUGACCCCAUACUGAGGGGGAGGAGGGUGUGUGGCAGAGAUAUUCAUCACAGCAGUGUCAUCACGACGACAGAGUCGUUCGUCCAGCCCGUUCACAAACCCUACAUCACCCUGUGUCAGGGGCACCGCCUCUGUAGCACCUACAAGUAAGUGACACAGCCAUGACUCUCCUGACCACUACUGUUGCUAUCACUGUCAAUAUCUCUAAUGCUAUCAAUGUCAAUAUCGCUAUCGCUGCCAAUAUCUCUUGAUAGCUCUAUCGCUGUCAAUAUCUCUAUUGCUAUCACUGUCAAUAUCGCAGUCGAUAUCGCUAUCACUGUCAAUAUCUCUAUCGCUAUCAAUAUCGUGAUCGCUACUACUGUCAGUAUCGCUAUCGUUGUCAAUAUCACUGUCAAUAUCGCUGUCACUAUCGCUGUCGAUAUCGCUAACAAUAUCACUAUCGCUGUUAAUAUUGCUAUCACUGUCAAUAUCACUCAAUAUCGCUAUCACUGUCAAUAUCUCUAUCGCUGUCAAUAUCUCGAUUGCUACUACUGUCAAUAUCGCUAUCGUUGUCAAUAUCGCUGUCACUAUCGCUGUUAAUAUUGCAAUCACUCAAUAUCGCUAUCACUGUCACUAUCGCUGUCAAUAUCUCGAUCGCUACUACUGUCAAUAUCGCUAUCGCUGUCAAUAUCUCGAUCGCUACUACUGUCAAUAUUGCUAUCGUUGUCAAUAUCGCUGUUAAUAUUGCUAUCACUCAAUAUCGCUAUCACUGUCACUAUCGCUGUCAAUAUCUCUAUAAUUGUCAAUAUUUCUAUCGUUAUCACUAUCAUUGUCAAUAUCUCUAUCACUAUCACGAUAACUGUCAAUAUUUCUAUCACUGUCAAUAUCUCUAUCGUUAUCAAUAUCACUAUCACUGUCAAUAUCACUAUCAUUGUCAAUUUCUCUGUCGCUAUCACUGUCAAUAUCUCUAUUGCUGUCAAUAUCUUGAUCACUGUCAAUAUCUUGAUCACUGUCAAUAUCUCGAUCGCUGUCAAUAUUUCUAUUGCUGUCAAUAUCUCUAUCAAUAUCGCUAUCGCUGUCAAUAUCGCUAUCACUGUCAAUAUCUCUAUCGCUAUCAUUGUAAAUAAUGCUAUUACUGUCAAUAUCUCUAUCGCUAUUACUGUCAAUAUCGCUAUCGACAUCGCUAUCACUGUCCAUAUCUCUAUCGCUGUCAAUAUCUCUAUCGCUACCACUGUCGAUAUCGUUGUCAAUAUCUCUUUCGCUAUCACUGUCACUAUCGCUAUCACUGUCAAUAUCGCUGUCAAUAUUGCUAUCGCUGUCAAUAUUGCUAUCGCUGUCAAUAUUGCUAUCGCUGUCAAUAUUGCUAUCGCUGUCAUUAUCGCUAUCGCUGUCAAUAUCACUGUCACUAUCUCUAUCGCUCUCAAUAUUUCUAUCGUUAUCACUAUCAUAUCUCUCACGAUCACUGUCAAUAUCGCGAUCACUGUCAAUAUUUCUAUCGCUGUCAAUAUCUCUAUCGUUAUCAAUGUCGCUAUCGCAGUCAAUAUCUCUAUUGCUAUCACUGUCAAUAUCAAUGUUGUUAUCGCAGUCAAUAUCUAUAUUGCUAUCACUGUCAAUAUCAAUGUUGUUAUCGCAGUCAAUAUCUCUAUUGCUAUCACUGUCAAUAUCGCUACCAAUAUCGCUAUCGCUAUCAAUAUUUCUAUCACUGUCAAUAUUUCUAUCACUGUCAAUAUUUCUAUUGCUGUCAAUAUCGCUGUCAAUAUCGCUAUCGCUGUCAAUAUCACUACCAAUAUCUCUAUCGCUAUCACUGUAAAUAAUGCUAUCACUGUCAAUAUCGCUAUUACUGUCAAUAUCUCUAUCGCUAUCACUGUCAAUAUCUAUCACUGUCAAUAUCACUUUCACUGUCGCUGUCAAUAUUUCUAUCGCUGUCAAUAUUUCUAUCGCUGUCAAUAUCUCUAUUGUAUCAAUAUCACUAUCAUUGUCUCUAUCACUGUCAAUAUCACUAUCAUUGUCAAUUUCUCUGUCACAAUCACUAUCAAUAUCUCUAUCACUGUCAAUAUCUAUCACUGUCAAUAUCACUGUCAAUAUCACUUUCACUGUCGCUGUCAAUAUUUCUAUCGCUGUCAAUAUUUCUAUCGCUGUCAAUAUCUCUCUUGUAUCAAUAUCACUAUCAUUGUCUCUAUCACUGUCAAUAUCACUAUCAUUGUCAAUUUCUCUGUCACAAUCACUAUCAAUAUCUCUAUCACUGUCAAUGUCGCGAUCACUGUCAAUAUUUCUAUCGCUGUCAAUAUCUCUAUCGUUAUCAAUAACGCUAUCGUAGUCAAUAUCUCUAUCGCUAUCACUGUCAAUAUCGCUAUCGCUAUCACUGUCUAUUGCUGUCAAUAUCGCUAUCACUGUCAAUAUCACUACCAAUAUCACUGUCAAUAUCGCUAUCACUGUCAAUAUCACUACCAAUAUCACUGUCAAUAUCGCUAUCACUGUCAAUAUCACUACCAAUAUCACUGUCAAUAUCGCUAUCACUGUCAAUAUCACUACCAAUAUCACUGUCAAUAUCGCUAUCACUGUCAAUAUCACUACCAAUAUCACUGUCAAUAUCGCUAUCACUGUCAAUAUCACUACCAAUAUCACUGUCAAUAUCGCGAUCACUGUCAAUAUCUCUAUAACUGUCAAUAUUUAUAUCGCUGUCAAUAUCGCUAUCACUGUCAAUAUUUAUAUCGCUGUCAAUAUCUCUAUCGCUAUCACUGUCAAUAUUGCUAUCACUGUAAAUAAUGCAAUCGCUGUCAAUAUCUCUAUCGCUAUUACUGUCAAUAUCUCUAUCGCUAUCAACAUUGCUAUCACUGUCCAUAUCGCUAUCACUGUCAAUAUUGCUAUCACUGUCAGUAUAUGUCACUGUAAAUAUCUCUAUCGCUGUCACUGUCAAUAUCUCUAUUGCUAUCACUGUCAAGAUCGCUAUCACAGUCAAUAUCUCUAUCGCUGUCAAUAUCUAUCGCUAUAGCUGUCAGUAUCUCUAUCGCUGUCAAUAUCUCUAUCGCUGUCACUGUCAAUAUCUCUAUCAAUUUCACUAUCACUGUCACUGUCAAUAUUGUUAUCAAUAUUGCUAUCACUGCAAACCCCCUGGGCGCACACUGGUUGAAUCAACGUUGUUUCUUCAUGAGCCUGAACCAACAUGAAAUAGACAUUAAACUGAUGUCUGUGCCCAGUGGGAACAUCCCACCUAAUCUUAUCAUAAUACCAUGUACAGUAGAGGUGUGCUGAGUAGUCGGACAAAACGAGUAUCGUAAAGGAAUAUGGGCAAUUUUCUGGAUAUGAUUAUGAUCCGAGUAUUUCUUUAAAUGAUCCGUGAUCGGGGGAAAAAAAGUAAUUUUCGGGUGCCAGAAGGCAUCUUUCUCAUGUCAGUCAGUCACACCCCUAAUAACAACUUGUUCUCAACUUGCCUACCUGGUUAAAUAAAGGUGAAAAAAUAAAUAAAAGAUGAGGUGCUACAUAGGCAAACUAGCCAGUUGAAUUAUUUAGACUGUCUGUAAAGAGAAGGGCAGGCUAUACGUUGAUUCUGCUGCUCUAAUUGGAUAGAAUGAAGCUCUAUUUCUUGGUCCACUUGCUUCAUAAUUUCACCCAAUCGCUUUCACUUCUCUGUUUCGGUCUAAUCAGUCAUAUUCCUGCUGCCCAAUGUUCCCUCUAAGCUGCACACGUGCACGGCUGUGCACCUCCUCCAGGACUGCCGCCCAGAAGAAAUUAGAGGUCGACCGAUUUAUAAUUUUUCAACACCGAUACCGAUUAUUGGAGGACCAAAAAAAGCCGAUACGGAUUAAUCGGCCUUUUUCUUUUUUUUCUUUUAUUUAUUUAUAUAUAUAUAUUUGUAAUAAUGACUAUUACAACAAUACUGAAUGAACAAUGAACACUUUUAUUUUAACUUAAUAUAAUACAUCAAUAAAAUCAAUUUUGUCUCAAAUAAAUAAUGAAACAUGUUCAAUUUGGUUUAAAUAAUGUAAAAACAAAGUGUUGGAGAAGAAAGUAAAACUGCAAUAUGUGCCAUGUAAAAAAGCUAACGUUUAAGUUCCUUGCUCAGAACAUGAGAACAUAUGAAAGCUGGUGGUUCCUUUUAACAUGAGUCUUCAAUAUUCCCAGGUAAGAAGUUUUAGGUUGUAGUUAUUAUAGGACUAUUUCUCUCUAUGCCAUUUGAAUUUCAUAUACCUUUGACUAUUGGAUGUUCUAAUAGGUACUUUAGUAUUGCCAGCCUAAUCUCGGGAGUUGAUAGGCUUGAAGUCAUAAAGAGCUGCUGGCAAGCACAGGAAAGUGCUGUUUGAAUGAAUGCUUACGAGCCUGCUGCUGCCUACCACCGCUCAGUCAGACUGCUCUAUCAAAUCAUAGACUUAAUUAUAAUAUAAUAACACAGAAAUACGAGCCUUAGGUCAUUAAUAUGGUCAAAUCCGGAAACUAUCAUUUCGAAAACAAAACGUUUAUUCUUUCAGUGAAAUAUGGAACCGUUCCGUAUUUUAUCUAACUGGUGGCAUCCCUAAGUCUAAAUAUUGCUGUUACAUUGCACAACCUUCAAUAUUAUGUCAUAAUUAUGUAACAUUUUGGCAAAUUAGUUAGCAACGAGCCAGGUGGCCCAAACUGUUGCAUAUACCCUGACUCUGCGUGCAAUGAAUGCAAGAGAAGUGACUCAAUUUCACCUGGUUAAUAUUGCCUGCUAACAUGAAUUUCUUUUAACUAAAUAUGCAGGUUAAAAAAAAUGAUACUUCUGUGUAUUGAUUUUAAGAAAGGCAUUGAUGUUUAUGGUUAGGUACAGUCGUGCAAUGAUUGUGCUUUUUCGCAAAUGCGCUUUUGUUAAAUCAUCCCCCGUUUGUCGAAGUUGGUUGUCUUUGUUAGGAAGAAAUGGUCUUCACACAGUUCGCAACGAGCCAGGCGACCCAAACUGCUGCAUAUACCCUGACUCUGUUGCACAGAACGCAAGAGAAGUGACACAAUUUCCCUAGUUAAAAGAACUUCAUGUUAGCAGGCAACUUCAUGUUAGCAGGCAAUAUUAACUAAAUAGGUUUAAAAAUAUAUACUUGUGUAUUGAGUUGAAGAAAGGUGUUGAUGUUUAUGGUUAGGUACACAUUGGUGCAACGACAGUGUUUUUUUUCCGCAAAUGCGCUUGUUAAAUCACCCGUUUGGCGAAGUAGGCUGUGAUUCAAUGAUAAAUUAACAGGCACCACAUCGAUUAUAUGCAACGCAGGACACGUUAGAUAAACUAGUAAUAUCAUCAACCAUGUGUAGUUAACUAGUGAUUAUGUUAAGAUUGAUUGUUUUUUUAUAAGAUCAAUUUAAUGCUAGCUAGCACCUUACCUUGGCUCCUUGUUGCACUCGCAUAACAGGUAGUCAGCCUGCCACCCAGUCUCCUCGUGGAGUGCAAUGUAAUCGGCCAUAAUCGGUGUCAAAAAAAUGCCGACUACCGAUUGUUAUGAAAACUUGAAAUCGGCCCUAAUUAAUCGGCCAUUCCGAUUAAUCAGUCGACCUCUAGAAGAAAUACCAGGCUGCGCAGAGAUACAAGAGAUUGAACUUCAUUGAGUUAGCCCAAUUAGUUUGCACUAUAUAGAUCGAUUUUUCUGUGAUCGAAUCAACAUUACAUCAUCCCCUUUUCAAUGCAACAAUCCAAACCAAAUGUAACUUUGCAAGAUUGAGUCUAUGAUUAUUUUUUCGUAGGCAGAGCCAGAGCGCAACGAAGUAGAAUUCUAUUGGCUGGGUAGCCCACGAGCAGUCUUUCAAUCACCUGAAAGUGAAUGUGCUUUUCAGAUCAGUUCAGAUCAGAGUACAGAGCUGCGCGUGAGCACAUUUGUUGAUAUUCUUUGCUAGUUAGCGAGUUAUUAGCCGGGUUAUAGAUGCGUAUAGGUCAGCAAUGGGGAGUUACUGCUUCCCACAAGAGCACAAUCUGUAGGCUACAUUUCAAGCUGUCUUUAAAAAGUCAGUCAGGUAAAAAGCUUAUGUCUUAAUUAAAGGGGCAGUGUUGUAUUUUGAGACCGGCUUGAAUAUGCUAAUAGGCAGAGGGGUUUCCUACAUUGUCUAAUUCUCUGUAUAGUAAUAAUAAUACAUUGUAUAUUGUAAAGUGGUUUCUUGCAUUAUAGACAAUACAAUGCAAUUUACAGUCACCUAUUUGGCCCAUGGUGUUACAGACCAAGUAAAAAAUCAUUAACUAAUGUCAAGCCCUGCAUAAUAUAAAAACGUUUUUAAAAGUCUCAUGCAAUGUAGGCCUGCAUUGAACACCACAGGCUACUGUAAACUAUAUCAUAGAAAUCCAAAGCUAUUUCCACGUGAAAAUAGCUUAUUGCCUACUGUCUAAAACUGUAAGGGUACAGCCUCACUGUUCACCUUAAACUCGCAUUCAAGUUUCCGCUCACAAGAACAAAAAUUUGCUCAGUGCCCCAAAAGAAUUGAGGGAACAUUGCUGCUGCCUCUUGUUAGCCUGCAACUAUGGUGAAUCAAAUGGCAAGGAUGUUUGCUAUCACGCUAUCAAUGUGCAUAAUAUCUAAAAAGAAGGGAAAGUUUGGGAACAAAGAUUCUGAUUGAUAGCAAACUGCCCGCUACAAUUUGAGGACACAGAGCCCUCCACGGCUCCUCAUCUGCAGCUUGUUUGGUCUGGAAACGUGCAGGGAGGGAGCUUAUUUGCCAAUAUCUACUUAGGCAUAUUAAAACAUUUCAUUUUUUUCCCGAUCACAAGUAACAUCCAAUCCAACUAUCAACUGUCUAUUUACAGAUACGAUUAUGGCCAUGUCAGCACACCCCUAAUACCACCACAAGGUCCAUAUAUCACUGCCUAAACAGGACAUCAUUUAUUAACAACACAAGCAGGGACCUUCAUCCAGUCUGUUUCCAGCUGUACCAUAUUUUAUAUAUGCCAUUUAGCAGACUUAGUCAUGCGACUUAGUCAUGCGUGCAUUUUUUUUUUUUUAUGUAUGUAUGGGAAUCGAACCCACCGUCCUGGCAUUGCAAGAGCCAUGCUCUACCAACUGAGCUACAGAGGACCACAUAUUUAGCAUUGUCUAUACAGUCUGACCUCAGCCAACCUCAUGCAAUACAUUCAUCUCUGACACAGAAGAUGUUAAGGUGAGUUUAUACAAUGUUCUACAAUGUUUAUUUGUUAGCAGGGCUACACUCUAAAGAAGGUAGACAGCUCCUGAUAAGUUUUGACAGAGGAGUCUUAUCCCUCCAGCAGAAGACCUGCCACUGUCCUCGCUACCGCUGUCCUCGCUACCGCUGUCCUCGCGACCGCUGUCCUUUCUGUUGUCUCACUUUCUCUGUUCAUCUCUCUCUCUACCCCCCCCGCCUCCAUGUCUCUCUCGUGCUUUCCCUCUUUCUCUCCUCCUUUGUCUCUCUGGCUCACUCCCUCUUUCUCCCCCCUCUCUCUAUGUCUCUCUUUCAUAUCAUAUUCAUACACAGAAGUGGGUCAUGGCGGUACAUAUUUUGGUGGAAUAUAAAUAUCAAGAAAUUUGUGUAACUACGGGAAAUGAACAGCCAGCCCACAGAGACCACUGCUGUGUUUAUCUUGGACAACCUCUCCCUCUGUGCUUACGCACUCUUUCAUUCUUUCCCUCCUUCAUCUCUCUCUCUCUCUCCACAGCAGACUGCUCCCAGCCGACAACUAUAAUUAUAAACUUUUUUUCCCACCAUGAGACUGAUGUUAUUGAUUAAUUUGUGAGACAUCUUUCGUGAGGCUAUUUUUCUCUUUCCUGCUCUCUUUCCCUCUCUCUCUCUCUCUCUCUCUCUCUCUCUCUCUCUCUCUCUCUCACUGAGGACAAUGCCAGGAAACAUUUCAGCAGAUUUCAGUGAAACUGCAGAACCCAGAACUGGCUUGGUGUCAACCUCACCCCCUGCCAUCCUUUCCACAUCCUCCCCCUCUUGUCACACACACUUGGUAACCAUUGGUCCAUGGUCCAGCCUAAUAUACCUGAGCGUCCAUGUUUGCUGACAUGGAGAAAACUCUAGGAGCUCUGCACGCACACACUAUUUCUCAGAAUCAUUACUCAAACCUAUUUAAGUGGCUCUGUCAGACCUAGCUGUAACGUUCUGUUGUGUGUUUCUCCAGGACAGUGUACAGGGUGGCGUACCGUCAGGUGACCAGAGCCGUGCCAGUCUCACACUCUUACCCAGAAUGCUGCCCAGGUUGGCGACGACUCCACUCACACAACUGUAAUCAAGGUAAUAGGGGUUUACACUUUCCUAGCAUCCCGUAUGUGUGCAUGUUCAUUUUUUAUUCUAUUUCUCUCUGUCCUCCAGCGGUGUGUGGCCAGUCCUGUGUGAACGGAGGAACAUGUUUAAUACCCAACCACUGCGCCUGUCCUCUGGGAUGGAUGGGUCGCCACUGCCAAACAGGUACACACACGCGCGCUCUUGCACGUACACACAGUCUUGUACAGCUAACCUUGUGGAUAGCUGUACAAUUCAGUCCCAUUCAAAAUCCAAUUUUCCCUAACCUGUACUCUUACCUUUAUGUUAACCCAAAAACCUAACCUUAAACCUAACCCUAGCUCUUAACCCUAAAACUAACCCUAGCUCCUAACCCGAACCCUUAACGUAAUUCUAACCCUAACAGGAUCAGUGACACCCAGUGUCUCCUCCCUCUCUCUGUCAGAUGUGGAUGAGUGCCGUGAGCAGCAGCCCUGUUCUCAUCAGUGUGUGAACAUGGCAGGCAGCUACCACUGUGUGUGUAGAGAGGGCUACAGGCUGGCAGGAGACACACACUCCUGUGAGAACCUUCCUCCUCCUCCUCCUGCCUCUUCCACCCACCCCAGUCAAGAAGCAGCAAACGAUCACAUACCCCCCUCCAGUGAUACAGGUACACCUCCACCAUUUUCUUUAUCCGCAGACAUGAUAGCACACGCACAUGAUUGAUUAUGUAUGUGUGUGUGUGCACGUACAUGUGUGCUGUAUGGGUGUGUGUGCUGUGUGUGUGUACGUGUGUUUCAGCAAAGUCUCCAAUGGGAGUGAAGAAGAGGACAGCCAGGCUCUUGGUCCAUUAUUACUUUUGGUACGCGCUAUGCCAAACUCUACUCGUACCGUGAGUAAUAAUGCACUGAGACUGGUACAGACUGCAAAGUGGACCGCAUGCAGUCAACAAGGUGUGGUGGUGUAUGUUAUUGCCAGAUGGACCACACUGAUAACCAGUAUAAACAAAGAUUGAUAGACCAACUGCAGUCAGCAACCAACAGUUUGUGGUCAUGUACGGUAUGACCCGGUGAACCAUGCUGAUAACCACUGUUUGAACAUCAGCUAGCUGUUUGAUGUAGACCAGGGAUGGCCAGCUUUGAUGGGGGUGGGGGCCACAAAAAAUCAGAACUCAUCAUGAGGGGCCGCAGUGGCUCGUGGGUCACAUUCCAUACCCACACAUGCAGUCAGAGCCAGCCCUAGGCUUUUGGGGCCAGGGGCCCUAAGCUAAAUGUUGUUCUACUAUUCUAACUAUCCACGGGUGGGGGGCAGUUGCCCAUCCCUGAUGUAGACCUUUCUUCCCCAUCUUUAACAUAGGAAAACUUCCUACCAUUCCAAAACGUUCCUUUAGUGUCCAGUGAAACAUCCUCCUCUCCCACACUUUCACACACUCAAGCUAUUCUCUAAACUGCUGCAUAUCACUGAAGAAAAGGGGAAAAAACAGCUCCCAUAGAUGUGCUGUGUUUGGCGUAACUUAGCAACAGGCUAAAAUAACCUCCCCUGUCUAGAAGUGGCUGGAUGGAACCCAAAGAAAUUCCCAUUUCUCUCAGACUGUAGUACGAUGAGCAUACAGUACUGUACACACAUAAAACAAGACUCAUCAUUUCCUCUACUUUAUGUCUGUCUGUCUAGAUAGAGAUGAGAUAUACAGGAUAGAUUGUCUUACACACUAAAAUACACAGAGAGAGAAAAACAGCAGUAAAAAAACAGAUAUGAGAGAUUGUACUUGGUGUAGGUGACGCAGGGGGAAUAUGUGCAGGCUCAGUACAGUUCUGUUCUCCUGGCCAACAAAGUGCAAGGCCAGCAGGCUGCUGCAGCAUUAACAUCAGCAGCAGUAUUGUCUUGGUUAAUGGCCCUAUUAUAUCAAUGAACUGUUCAUAUCCAGGCUGACGUAUGAUGUUGAUGAAGAUCACCAAGAUAAAGAAGGGAAUAAAUGCCCUGCUCAGACCUUAACAGCUCUCGUCUGAAUCCCUCCAUAUUUUUUCUUCCUUCUCGGUCUCUCUUUUCUUGGCCGGAACUUGCGCUCUCAUUCCAGCUUCGUCAACUUCAUCUGCUGGGGGUCGCCCCCACCUCCCUCCCACCCCCCCCUCCCUUUCGACUCUUGUCCCAAUAGUCCACAUCUGGGAGAGAUUGAGCUGUUCUCAGCCUUAGCUCCGUGGCUGACCGGGGGGAGACGUGGGGUUUGUACCCAGCUCUGAGCCCAUAGCUCUGGGGACCUGUCAUGGUGAGCAGGGGGACACUCGGUGGCUGGUUGGACUCAGGCCAACUUAGCUCACCCCUCCUUGUCUUGUAACUGAUACAGGACAACAUGUUUAGCCAUGAUGGACUGUGUUUAGCCAUGAUGGACUGUGUUUAGCCAUGAUGGACUGUGUUUAGCCAUGAUGGACUGUGUCUUAUUCAUAGUGCCCUCUCUUCCGGUUACAUGGUGUGUGUGUCAUUUCCCCAUAUCCUCGGCCCCUUUUGCAGUCUUAAGUUAUGGAUUUGUUACCGGCUUCACCCCUAGCACUGAAUUCCCCAGCCAGCUUGUGGUUCAGUGGUUCUCUUCCCAUCUGUUUCAUAGCUGUGAGACUGAGGCCCCCUGUCUUCUUAUGAAUCACUCAGGAGCAGGAUCAGAGUAAGAUGCUGAAGUCAUUAUCUAUCUCAAAGACAUGUCACAAGUCUAAGCUUUAGACAGAAUUGGAAGGAUUAACCAUCGCACUCUAAAAAUUGUCAGACUCCAGCCACCCUAGUCAUAGACUGUUCUCUCUGCUACCGCACAGCAAGCGGUACCGGAACGCCAAGUCGAGGUCCAAAAGGCUUCUUAACAGCUUCUACCCCCAAGCCAUAAGACUCCUGAACAGCUAAUCAAAGGGCUACCCAGACCCCUCUUUUACGCUGCUGCUACUCUUUGUUCAUAAUCUAUGCAUAGUCACUUCAACUCUACCUACAUGGACAUAUUACCUCGACUAACUGGUGCCCCCGCACACUGACUCUGUACUGGUACCCCCUGUAUAUAGCUUCGCUAUUGUUAUUUACUGCUGCUGUUUAAUAAUUUUUUACUUAUCUAUUUUUUUACCUAACCCUUUUUUAUCUUAAAACUUCUUAAAGCAUUGUUGGUUAAGGGCUUGUAAGUAAGCAUUUCACUGUAAGGUCUGUUGUACUCGGUGCAUACAAUUUGAUUUGAUCUGUCCCCAAAUCUUUGUAAACUAACCCUACUGGGUCAUAUUCAGUAGGGUUCACUGUAGCAAAACGUUUUGCAACAGAAAAUUAAAAUCUGUGUUCUUAUUGAAGCAGGUCAGGUAGUACCUCAUAGUUUUCAAAAAGUUUUCUCCCAAUAGACAACACCAUUGUGCAGAUAGAGGGUGUCUUAAAUACUGGUGAUCCACAGUGUGAUUGUGUGUGUUGUCUACAGGUGGAGGGUUUGGGCUGACUGAGAACGUCACAGAGGAGGUCCAGAGCCUGAAGAACAGAGUAGAGCUGCUGGAACAGGUACGACUGCACCCCCUGUUCUCUACCAUCACCUGCACACACAGCUUUGUUUUGGGGAAUUUUCAGGACUUUCUGGGAAGUAAAAAUGUAUUCCCAUUCAAAAUUCUACUUUCACUAACUCUAAACCUAACCUUAACCUCAAACCCUAAACCUAACCUUUCAGCCAAAAAUAGCAUUUUAACAAAUUCAGGACAUUUAAAAAAUAUAUAUAUAUUAUUUUCCUACCUUGUCAGAACAUUCUGGUGACUUGUCAGGAGAUUGUGGUCCUGAUAAAGUAGGAAAAUGUGUACACACACAUUCACACGGUCUCACAAACAGGUGUACAUACCCUCUCCCUCCCUAUCCUUGUAAAGUCCCCCUUAAACCCUUGCCAGUACACCUCUAGCAUCUCCCACCCACUCUGAGCCAGCACCAGGCAGAUACACGUUAGACUGUUAUGCUGGUGUAUUAUCAAAUACCACUCAAGAUGUAAUCAUGAACUUUGUUAACCAACAGAGAACACACGCACUCACAAAACCCAGCAUCCUUUGAAAUGCCAGACUGUCAUAGUGACCUUUUAAACGUCUUUUUAGUUUUUCAUUAGAAGUCAUGUCGUUAAUGCUCCGUGGAUUACAGUAAAAGUAAAUGAGGGGAUGCAGGCAGCUGAAAUGGGAGGAUCCGUAUAAUAUAGCAGUACUUUCACAUUACAGCGACCGCUGUGAUGGCAAGACGGAUUGUGUUGGGAUUUGUUGCCAAUAGGGAAAUAAAUGACUUUAUUUCUCUGUAUUGCUGUCAUCCUCUCUGUUGUUGUGUUUGUCACAUACACUAAACCCCCUCAUCUUUUCUCCCUGCCACUGCCCUUCUCUUCCUCUUUUAUUUCUCUCCCUCUCCCCUCACUCUUCUCUCUCCUACCGCCCUCUUCCAAACCUCUCUCCCUCUUCCAAACCUCUCUCCACUCUCUCUUGCCUCCCUCUUCCAAACCUCUCCUCUCUCCCUCCCUUUUCACCUCUCCAGAAGCUCCAGUUGGUCCUGGCCCCUUUCACCAGUCUGUUCCCCAUGUCGCUGGACGAGGGCGUGUCUGAGAAAACCAGCUUCCUGUCCCACUCCUUCCAGCAGCUGGAUCGCAUCGACUCGCUCAGCGAACAGGUCGGCUUCCUCGAGGAACGCCUCGGAACAUGUGAGUGGAUAAAGUCAAAGUUUAAAACAUUUUAUUGUACUCCUCUUGUUGGACAGGACAAAGUGGCCAUAUAAAGGCUUGAAGUGGAUGUGAAGUGAUUUGGUUGACUAUGGAUAGUAACAUUGAUUUGUCCUUUGUUGCUAAAGGUUCCUGCCAAGAGAAUUAGAAACAACAGGACUGGGUCACCCUCACCAACUAGAUAUCUCCACACAAGUCUGAGUCCACAACACAAUAACAAUAGGAAUGGAAUGAAUGCCCCAGCCCAGCGAUAUGGAGGAGGAGCAAUAUUAGUAGAACAUAGGCCUACUCAGUGUUUUGUGUAUUCCUGUUCCUAUACCAGCCCAAAGGCUAACUUGAACACUAGCUCUAUGAUGGGCAACCCUGUCAUGUGCUAUAUGUCAGUGACACAUACAACCCAUUUAAGUGUCCCUUUCUCCCAACAGCAUAAUUUCAUGUCAUUGCUGUAUUACGGAGACAUAGAAGAGCAUAUAGCAUCACCACCUGUGACGGUUACAGGGGCCUCAUUCCCCCAUUAGCACAUUACCUGAGAGUCAAAGUUCAAACUGCCAAUUUCACUCUGAAGGAUCUGGUUUCCAUGUUUUAGGUUCACAUCAGUCCACUGUCAGAGCCCCCAUGGUGGGGUUUGCAUGGACAUCUGUAUUUAUGUAUUUAAGUUAGAAUUCCUUGUGCUUAUUUCAUAGAGAUACAAUAGACAGUUUACUUUUUUUUUACCUUGUUUUGUAACUUUUUGUAAUAAAAUUGAUUAAAUCAAAAAUGUCUGGUAGAAGAUUUGUGUGUGUGCUCCACGUGGAAGAACAAGAGAUCUCAUUUGAACACAUUACUCGUUGCCGAUUUCAAUUCUAUGGAGAGUUAAGAAACAGUCACACGGGGUCCAAAUCCCAUCUGCAAAGCCUGGGUCUCCACUGCUAGCAAACACACAGCAAUAAAGCACUACAACAGCUCCUUAAGAAACAAAAUGACAUUUAUUAUUUUCCAAACAAUUCAUCAAACAUGUUUAAUCAAUAUUUCUGUGAAAUCAAGAAACACAUCGAUAUUAACCAGAUACUACAAUGGGCUUAUAUGUUGUCGUGUGUGUACGUCUAGGCCACACAGACAGCUCAGCAGGAUGUCGUAAGACAGACGCCUUGGCCAGCUCAAUGGUUCAUAGUCAUCUAAAGCCAACAGAUUACACUUUAAUUGCUUUGGUGAAAUUCAUAGAAUAUUUUGAUAAGAUUUGUUCUUUUUAAAUAUAACCACACAAACUCAACAUGAAAAGUGCUUUAUUCAUAUUUAGAAUACUUUAAAUCUUUCUCCAAUAUCUUAAAUAUAAUUUUGUAAACAGCCAGAUCAACCAACCAGGCUCCCAAAGUAGUGCUGCAGAGCCUGUUGAGUUAACAUAUGACGUUUUUAGCUGACACACUAGAAAGUUAAGCUACAAAACAUCAUGAAAAUAAUCAAUAGGCUAACUAUUGACCAUGGUCUAAAAAUCAAUGACAGUAUACAUUUGGUAGCAUCUUUGAUGAACAUUCAAACCUCUAAGAUUUUUAAAAAGACACCACUGCAUUUUAAGAUAACAAAAACCAUGAAAGGCUUACUAUUGUUAAUAUAUACUUCUAUUAACAAAAAUGAAUGUCACAGAUUUAUUUGAUGUAUUCAGACUGACUGGCGUAUGUAUAUUCCGUACAUGGUGGUACUGGCCUUCAAGAACAUAAAGAUGAGGAAAGCCCGAGCCUUGAGCUGAUUUACUCCUCGGAACCAAGUAAGCCAAAAGCCCAGCAGGUGCCGGUAAAGCUACUGUAGACAAUCGACUAUGAAGAGGCCUCGUAUACAGGGUUAUUACCAGACAAAGCAUAGAUGUUUUCACUUCUACAGCAUGAGCGCCUCAACAGGGUUGGAGUUAAUCAAUUCCAUUUUUCAAUUCAGUCAAUUCAGGAAGUAAACUGAAAUUCUAAUUUCCGGUAAAAAAAAAUCUGAGAAGCACUGAGGAUAAUUGAAGUAGAUGUUUUUUUUGGAUUGACUGAAUUUAAAUUGAUUGAUCCUCAACACUGUUCCUCAGGAAGUUUGGGUGCACAACAAAGAAAAAUGCUGGAGAUAAAAUUAAGUGUACAAUUACUUUACCUUAAUUUUAAAUAAAAACAAUUAAUCAUUGACAUUUCUUUGUGUCAGAAACAGACUGUAUGCAAAACAUAAUUCCAUUGAAAUAAGUUAUACUUAAAAUUAAAAAGAUUGAAAAAUAAAGAGUUAAAUGCAAUAAGUAGUACACAAAUAAUCCUGAAAUACAUUCUCAGACCGGUGUUUUUGACAGGCAAAAAGCUGCAAGCGACUUCAUUUUAGCCAACUGUAAUGUAAAGGCAGUGAAUAUUAAAAAUGUCAAGAUCUGGAUACAAAUUAUAAUAAGAAGCUGCGUUGCCAUACAUUAAAAGUAUGUCAUUCCAGUUAUGUCUAUUAAUUACAAAAUAUAAAACCUCUCACAAGUUUACAAACUUCACAAUCCCAACUUUGAUUAUUACUACCUUGAAUACAAGGCCAAAAACAUUCAGCCAAUUCCUCGCUUCCUUUAAAAAUAGACCACGCCUUUUCCCCACAGUCAGUUCUACAUAUCAUACACCAUCCAUCGAUAAAAUCAUCAAAUUUAAUAUUCUCAGUUUUGGGUAUCAUAAUUGGUCAGAAAACCACAGUAUGUAUUGAUAGGAGAUGUCUAUGCGUGUAUCCCUCCUCUUCCCCAUUCCCCUAUAAUAGGAAAAGCACCGGUUCAUCAAGUAUAAAGCUAAGGUAACCACUGACAGCAGCCCUUCUAUACUGAAUAUAAAUGUAACAUGCAAAGUGUUGGUCCAAUGUGUCAUGAACUGAAAUAAAAUAUCCCAGAAAUGUUCCAUUGGCACAAAAAGCUUAUGUCUCUCAAAUUUUGAGCACAAAUUUGUUUACAUCCCUAUUAGUGAGCAUUUCUAAAUUGUCAUGGUAAUUUAUCCACGUGACAGGUGUGGCAUAUCAAGAAGCUAAUUAAACAGCAUGAUCAUUACACAGGCACACCUUGUGCUGGGGACAAUAAAAGGCCACUAAAAUGUGCAGUUGUCACACAACACGAUACCACAGAUGUGUCAAGUUGAGGAAACGCGCAAUUAGCAUGCUGACUGCAGGAACGUCCAACAGAGCUCUUGCCAGAGAAUUGAAUGUUAAUUUCUCUACCAUAAGCCACCUCCAAUGUCAAUUUAGAGAAUUUGGCAGUACGUACAACUGGCUCACAACUGCAGACUAUGUGUAACCACAACAGCUCAGGCCCUCCACAUCCGGCUUCCUCACCUGUGGGAUCGCAGGGGUGCUGAGGAGUAUUUCUGUCUGUAAUAAAGCCCUUUUGUGGGGAAAAACUGAUUCUGACUGACUGGGCCUUGCACCCAAGUGGGUGGGCCUAUGCCCUCCCAGGCCCAACCAUGGCCGUGCCCCUGCCCAGUCAUGUGAACGCCAUAAAUGAAUUUCCUUCUAUGAACUGUAAUUCAGUAAAAUCUUUAAAAUAGUUGCAUGUUGCACUUAUAUUUUAGUUCAGUAUAGUUAUCAUGUAACAAUAAGGAACAUUUGGCCAAGCAAAGAACGCACAAGACUUAGCUAAUAAAUGUUACUGUGGUGAAAGGAUGCAGCAAUUGUUUUAGCAUUUGAUAAUUUACUGGGGAAAAAAAUAAUUGUACAACAUAUCAGGGUAUAUGUUACUUAACUAUGGGGACUGCUAUCAUGAUGGUUACCAAAAUACAGGUUGGUGUUCAGUUUGAGGAGAAUUUGAUUCACAUUUCACCUCUUCUGAGAUGUGUUUUUGGGGUGUAGGUUGGGACAAGCAGGGUUUAUUAGUAGUUAGUAAAAACUCAACAUUAAAACAAAACUUAACAUCUGAAAUCUGAUCUCGUUUGAUGUGGUUAAGCCUCCUGAUAUCAUCACGAUACCAUCGUCUCCGCAGUGCAGCAAGGACUCCAGACUUUUCAUUGGAAACCGUAAAACCGAUCAAUCACUAACAGAGCACAGGGUUACAUUUAAAACAAUCCCCUCAUUAGAACACUUUGUACUGUACCCGUGUUACAUCUAGAUCACUUCCCAAUGUGUUACUUUUAAAGCACUAGCACACUUUUUCCAACAAAAAACAGAGUUCCUGUUGGACAAAUUCAAGUAGGCCCCUCCCUGUUUCAUUCAGUUUGCUCCAUUUGCUUUGUUUGGCUCUUAAAACGGUUUCCGUUGCAAGAUGUAAUGAAUACAUCCUAGAACUCUUGCACUUUGGAGCAGUUUAGAUUGAACAGUUGGACAUUGCACUUCAUAAAAUCGCCUUUUAUACAUCUUAAAUAGGUUCUUCGUGCACGAAGAACAGAACUUUAAGACAUAAAAGUCACAUAAAAAAAAAAUAACAAGACCAUAUGAUGUAGAUAUAAAUAAAGAGAAAUAUAGAACACAGCUGAAAAAAAACAAACAUUUUGCUCUGUUACAUGCAUCUUAUUUCUUAGGUGGAUAGAAAAUAAAAAUGAAGAAAAUCUGUGUAGUACACCAAAAAUGCACAACAUUUGGAAACUGAUAAGUCCAGUAAAGUCCAUGAAUUCACUGAGGAUGGUUCUUGUCUUCGUUGUAUCCCUUGGUGUUUGGCGUGGUACAUUAUAUCAUGGUACAGUAUAUCAAGCAUGGUACAGUAUAUCAUUGAGCUAUUGUGAUAAAGUGGUUGAGAAGCCAGUGUGGUUGGUAUGCAUGUAAGUAAGUAACAAUAUAGAGUGGAUUCCACUGAGACACAUAAGGAACAAGUCCCUAAGUCAACUACUGUUGAUCUGGUCUCGUUCCUCUGUUGCCCUCCACCUCCCCUCCAGACCCCCUGGUCCUCCAGAGCCCCUGUUCCCCCUCUUCUUCAGAGACAAUAGGCUGGAAUGCAGAACAGGGGAGGAUUCACUGGGGUUGGGUGGGAUGUGGUGUUGGGCAGGGGGAACUGUUGUGUGUGCAUGUUAAAGCCGGGUGGUUGUGUGUGUCUGAGAGCACAUUAAGAAAAAAGAUUAGGCAGCACCAGAAGAAGGUAUAAAUAUCCACUGGUGACAUUUACGAAAAUCUAAAGUCAAGCCGGAGGAAGGGAGAGGGAAACAAGCGAAAGCACAACUACUGCCAUAAAAUCAGACAACCAUAAAGCCACUUAAAAACAGAUAAACAAAACAAAAUGGUGGACAACAGAGCUAUCCAAAAGGAAUGCAUGAUGAACCCACAUCACAUCCAUACCAUUCUAACCUGCAGAUCAAACAGAGCUGCUGCAGUGAGAGGUCAGGGCUGGAAUGUACUGGCUGGGUCAGACCAGGAACCAAACUGGACCAGGCCAACAUCAGAAAACUUCAUGACGUAGACCCGGUGUGUGCGUUCUGUCCUGGUAGAGAUACACUCAAAUAUAUUGGCACCCUUCACUAUGUCUUUUAAGAUAAGUUGACAUUUAAAAAACAUUUGGUGUACACACAUGUAUUUGUUUGAUUUACAACUGCACAGGACCAAUACAUUUUUUUUCUUCUAAAAUUGAGAUUUUUCACUUAAGUUAAAAAUAUUGCCUGGACUAAAUUAUAAAAAAUUAAUUUGGUUGGUUGGAAGCAAUUAUCUUGUUUACGGUGUCAUUUCUCUCACCCGUGGUAAGUUGCAGGUGUCUUAAGGGUAAGACAUAGCCAUUCAACCAGUUUUGAAAAGAGAAAACAGAACAUUCUGCACCAUUGUAAAAGUGCGAGGGUGCCAAUAUAUUUGACUUAAUUUGUAAGUAGGUAGGUAGGGAGCUGGGACGAUGUGGAGGGGAGAGAAGAGGGGAAGAGUUUGGUGUCUCGGACAGGAAAAUGAGGAGGGAGGUUGUUCAUGUUUAGUGGUGCAAGGAGGGCCCGUUGCUCUGGGUUACGGGGGCAGAGCCAGAGAUGUCCAGGAAGACGGAGCGCAUAAGGUCGUAGGACUUGUCGGAGAGGUCGGCCACGUCGUCUGACGUCAUGCCCUUCGUCUCAAUCUUCGGAAGGAUCUUCAGUGUGAUGGUCCCUUGUUAGAGCAUAGCGUAAACAUCAAUAUCAUCAUAAACAUCACAACAACCCUCAUCUUGUCUGCAUGGACGCAAAAGACAACUUCUUUCUAUAAAUAAUAUCAUGAGCCAUUAAUGUCAAGAGUAGCUGUGGAUAACCCCUUUCAAUAUGAACUACAAACAUCUGUACCCGAGUUGAACUGCUUUUCUUUCCGUAGGUAGAAGUUACUGUAGGAGGAGAACACGAUGGGAAUGAUAGGAGCCUGAAACAGAGACAGAAGCAAGAAAGAAAGAGAGAGAGAAGCAAGAAAAGGAAUUACCAUGACAGUUCGUUCGACAUUCGAUUUAAGCCCAGGGUACCAAAAUACCAUUCUUUUUUCCAAGAUCAAACCAACAAGUAUAAUCUACUUUAAGGAUGCUUCCCUCCCUCAGGCAAGACAAACAUGAACACACAGACAAAGACAUGCAUGGCUGACUGGCCUACACAGACUGUCUGUACACAUAUCUAUGGGCACGCACGCACAUGCACCAUCUCCUCCAGCCCUGCAGCGGCAGACCUAGAGAUAUCGUUAGCUCUGCAUUGGAGCACAACAGUCAUGUGUUAAUGAUAUGGGAAACACAAAUAUACACCAUUCUGCAGAGAUCUACUAUACGGAUGAGUGUUUUGUGUUGACCCUUCUGUAGACCAGAGAUUCCUCAGAUAUUUCUGUGUUAGUUAAUAUGGACCAGCAGGUCUUGGUUACUGUGUUCCAUCUGUUUCUCAGAUCUAUCCACUGAUACACAUCUACACACAACCUUUGAGCAUGCAGGCGCACAAGGCCUACAUUGAAUACAGGCUACACAGACAAACUACAAUAAACACACACACUUCGACACCUCAUAACCUGGAGUGAACCUGCGGUGUCUGUCUGGCUCUGUUUCAUGUAACGUUCUUUACAUUUAUUCCAUCCAUUUCCCUCCCUCAGUCUUUCACUCUCCCCAACACUCAUCCUAUAUCGCCCUCCAUCUAUAACUUCAGAAACCCUUUCCAUUAGGCGCCCUCUCUCCCACUGUAUUGCUCCCUCGGUCUUUGCUUCUCUCAGUCCCUCUUACUCUAGCUCUCUUUGUCUUCCAUCUAUGCCAAAGGUAGUGAAAAUGUCCUCUGCA
This 20361-nucleotide long non-coding RNA is filed under the name Salmo salar (Atlantic salmon). RNAcentral describes it as "lncRNA (ENSSSAG00000120063.1)". The stretch from base 9407 to 9479 matches the Rfam family "mir-126 microRNA precursor family". Lineage: Eukaryota; Metazoa; Chordata; Actinopteri; Salmoniformes; Salmonidae. The record is from RNAcentral.